RNAcentral lists this ribosomal RNA (427 nucleotides) under uncultured Peredibacter sp. RNAcentral describes it as "bacterial SSU rRNA". It matches the Rfam family "Bacterial small subunit ribosomal RNA", at positions 355 to 774 of the family's 1533-position model. The record is from RNAcentral. Lineage: Bacteria; Pseudomonadati; Bdellovibrionota; Bacteriovoracia; Bacteriovoracales; Bacteriovoracaceae.
UAGGGAAUAUUGCGCAAUGGGGGAAACCCUGACGCAGCAACGCCGCGUGAGUGAGGAAGGUCUUCGGAUUGUAAAACUCUUUUAUCUGAGAAAAAUGUGUAUGGAGCUAAUACCCCAUGCAGUGAUGGUAUCAGAUGAAUAAGCACCGGCUAACUUCGUGCCAGCAGCCGCGGUAAUACGAAGGGUGCAAGCGUUAUUCGGAAUCAUUGGGCGUAAAGCGCGCGCAGGCGGAUUUGUAAGUCAGGUGUGAAAUCUCGGGGCUCAACCCCGAAACUGCGCCUGAAACUACAAGUCUAGAAUGUCGGAGGGGGCAGGGGAAUUUCACGUGUAGGGGUAAAAUCCGUAGAGAUGUGAAGGAACACCGGAGGCGAAGGCGCCUGCCUGGACGACUAUUGACGCUGAGGCGCGAAAGCGUGGGGAGCAAACA